UGGAGUCUGCAACUCGACUCCAUGAAGCUGGAUUCGCUAGUAAUCGCGCAUCAGCCAUGGCGCGGUGAAUACGUUCCCGGGCCUUGUACACACCGCCCGUCAAGCCAUGGAAGCCGGGAGUGCCUGAAGUGUGCAACCGCAAGGAGCGCCCUAAGGUAAAACUGGUGACUGGGGCUAAGUCGUAACAAGGUACC
Molecule: ribosomal RNA, 194 nt
Filed under: uncultured bacterium
Lineage: Bacteria
Description: partial 16S ribosomal RNA
Rfam family: Bacterial small subunit ribosomal RNA
Source: RNAcentral